Molecule: ribosomal RNA, 526 nt
Filed under: uncultured bacterium
Lineage: Bacteria
Description: bacterial SSU rRNA
Rfam family: Bacterial small subunit ribosomal RNA
Source: RNAcentral
AAAUAGAUACCCCGGUAGUCCAUGCCGUAAACGUUGGGAACUAGAUGUGGGACCAUUCCACGGUCUCCGUGUCGCAGCUAACGCAUUAAGUUCCCCGCCUGGGGAGUACGGCCGCAAGGCUAAAACUCAAAGGAAUUGACGGGGGCCCGCACAAGCGGCGGAGCAUGCGGAUUAAUUCGAUGCAACGCGAAGAACCUUACCAAGGCUUGACAUACACGAGAACGCUGCAGAAAUGCAGAACUCUUUGGACACUCGUGAACAGGUGGUGCAUGGUUGUCGUCAGCUCGUGUCGUGAGAUGUUGGGUUAAGUCCCGCAACGAGCGCAACCCUCGUCUUAUGUUGCCAGCACGUAAUGGUGGGGACUCAUAAGAGACUGCCGGGGUCAACUCGGAGGAAGGUGGGGAUGAGGUCAAAUCAUCAUGCCCCUUAUGUCUUGGGCUUCACGCAUGCUACAAUGGCCGGUACAAAGGGCAGCAAUACCGCGAGGUGGAGCAAAUACCCAAAAAGCCGGUCUCAGUUCGGAUUG